UACGUAGGGUGCAAGCGUUAAUCGGAAUUACUGGGCGUAAAGCGUGCGUAGGUGGUCUUUUAAGUUGGAUGUGAAAUCCCCGGGCUUAACCUGGGAACUGCAUUCAAGACUGGGAGACUUGAGUCUGGGAGAGGGUGGUGGAAUUUCAGGUGUAGCGGUGAAAUGCGUAGAUAUCUGAAGGAACAUCAGUGGCGAAGGCGACCGCCUGGCCUAAGACUGACACUGAGGCACGAAAGCGUGGGGAGCAAACAGG
RNAcentral lists this ribosomal RNA (253 nucleotides) under uncultured bacterium. Its description in RNAcentral is "partial 16S ribosomal RNA". It matches the Rfam family "Bacterial small subunit ribosomal RNA", at positions 524 to 776 of the family's 1533-position model. The record is from RNAcentral.